This is a non-coding RNA of Vicia faba (fava bean), 237 nucleotides long. Lineage: Eukaryota; Viridiplantae; Streptophyta; Magnoliopsida; Fabales; Fabaceae. The record is from the annotation of a GenBank genome assembly.
CUUUCACUUUCUCUCUCUAGCGGUUUUCUCUCUCUCAUCCGUUCGUUUUUGUUUCCGCGUGCGCGCUCAAUUCAUCACACCGCUUCAUCAACCCUACCUUUCCCUUCUCCUCUGAUCCUUUUUUCAUCCCCAAUUUCGGGAUCUAGGGUUUUCGUUUCAAUUUUCUUCUCAUUUAGGGUUCUUUUUACCUUCAAUUCGAUAUUGAUCCAUCGAUAUUAUCCUGUUUUGUUUCGUUGA